UACGAAGGGGGCGAGCGUUGUUCGGAAUUACUGGGCGUAAAGGGCGCGUAGGCGGCGACCCAAGUCAGAUGUGAAAGUCCUGGGCUUAACCUGGGGACUGCAUUUGAUACUGGGUUGCUUGAAUUCGGGAGAGGAUAGCGGAAUUCCCGGUGUAGUGGUGAAAUGCGUAGAUAUCGGGAGGAACACCAGUGGCGAAGGCGACUUCCUGGCCUGUUCUUGACGCUGAGGCGCGAAAGCUAGGGGAGCAAACGGG
RNAcentral lists this ribosomal RNA (253 nucleotides) under uncultured bacterium. Its description in RNAcentral is "partial 16S ribosomal RNA". It matches the Rfam family "Bacterial small subunit ribosomal RNA", at positions 524 to 776 of the family's 1533-position model. The record is from RNAcentral.